This 20814-nucleotide long non-coding RNA is filed under the name Lactuca sativa (garden lettuce). RNAcentral describes it as "long non-coding RNA (LSAT_LNC008725)". The record is from RNAcentral. Lineage: Eukaryota; Viridiplantae; Streptophyta; Magnoliopsida; Asterales; Asteraceae.
UUUUUUGGCUUUUAGCGAAUUGGUGUUAUUGAAUUGGAACACUGUUGGGUAUAUUCUAUGCCCCAUGGCACACGUAAAAACAUUUGGCCAAAAGCCUUCCACACAAACUUUGAAGUCAACAAAGUAAACCCCCAAAUAACACUCACACACAAAAAAAGGGACCAUGAUUGAUGAACCAAUCAUCUUUCUUGUGGAAUUUUCCAUGCAACUUCUCCCUACCAAAUGUAUUCCACUUUGCUAUUAUUCCACAAAAAACAAAAACUACUAUCAGGAUUGCAUAGACUAACUAUCAGUGUUGUGAAGUAUACUUAGCUUAACUUGUUAAUAUUUUCAAUUUAUUAGUUCUUAUUAUAAGUUACAAUGUUAUGUCCUGUAAUUUUUAAAUAUAUACCAACACCAAAACAUAAGAGAUUAUGGUUGAUGGAAGAGAAAAAAUGAAAACAAAUUUGAUGUCCUUAAUCAAUGCCAGAAACUAUGAAUGUCAUGACAGAUACUUUCAUUUCAAUUCAUAGAAUACCACUUCCCAAAGAAUUUCUACAUUACCCAUCAGCUUUCAUUUUAUCCUCGUUUGUUCCUCUAAAUUACUUUUUAAUGUAAGUAAAUACAGUAUGAUGUAGAGAUGACAAUUCCAACCCAUUUAUAGAAAAAUGGGUUUGAUUUAGGUCAUUCUUUAUAUCUAAUUGGUCAAACAGGUCAGCCCGGUUCCAAAACUCAUUUAAAUGUGUUAAAAGUUUGUGAGCUGUUUUAAUAACCAAUUAAUAUUUUACUUCUUAAAACACAGUUUUAAUAAGUUUUCGUAAAAUAUUUAAGGCAUUCCAGUAAACACUUAUGAUAUUUUAAAACUGUCUUUACCAGAUUUACAGGUUAUUAAAUUUGAAUAAAACUAUUGAUGCAUGCUAGAACUCAUAUCUUUAAAGUUGUAAUUCAUUUUAGUUGCAACUAGUGUGGUCUCUAAUAUGUCUAAGACGCAAUAUUUGUGUUGAUAUUUACAAAAAGUUGAUUACAUGAAAAUAAACUGUCUUUUUUCUGUCAAAAAUAUACAGUAAAAAAUGAUAUUAGAUAACUAAUAUCCAGAAACUUGUAUUUUGGUCUUGGGGUAUUUUUCUUUUUCUCUUAAUCAAUAUAAGUGGUUGUUGGUUAUUCCACAUGACAUUCGUAAAUGUAUUUGGCUUAUUGGCCACAAUCUAUUAAUUUUCAUGGAAGACUUGGAAGUCAAUGAAUACAUCCAAGCCUAUUUUUUGUUUUCUCUAGAUCGAAAGAAGUGCUUUUUAGCCAAGUCUAUCCCCCUUGGAAGAAGCAAGUGUAAUUGCAAUAAAAAAAAAAUUUAAACAAUUAAAAAGGAAUUGAAUAUAAUAUAGUAUUUGGCAAGAUUACAAUUAUAUUAGAAGUCACUAACUACAAAAGACUUGGAAGUCAAUGGACAGUUUGUAGCCACAAACGGGUAUGCUCUGGAUCUGGACUGUAUUUUUUUUUUCUAUGCCCCAAGGAAAACACAAAUGUAUUUGGCCACAAGUAUUUUUCACAAAAGAAAUUUGAGUCAACAAAGUAAACCCCGAAAUAAAUAACAUGGACACAGGAAAAUAGUGUCAUGAUUGAUGCACUAAGUUAGCAUAUUUCUUGUGGAACUUUCCAUGCAACUUCUCCCUAACAAGAAAACAAAUAUAUUCCUCUUUUCUUAAUAUUCCAUUAAAAACGAACCUAGUAUCAGGAUUGCAUCAGUCUAAUUAUCAGUUGCAUGAAGCAAGUAUAGUUAGUUUAACUUAAUUUAAUAUUUAUCAAUUCUUAUUAUAUGUUACAAUGUUAAGUACAUAUUCCAUAACUUAUAUUUUGUAACUUUUACAUAUGUACUAUAACAGAUCGUUCAAACUGUAUUUGUGAUUCCACCCAUGCAUGGCUCAUACCCCAUAGAUCGUUCAAACUGUAUAUGAACAAUAAUCAAUUUUAGCUCAAAUGGUAAAAACCACUUUCAUGAGUUUCCUUUGUUGCAAAAUAGGAGAUAAAAAACUAGCUACCAACAAGCUGGUUGGUUUGAAGAAAGAGAGGAUCAAGAAAGAAUCCUUGGAAAACUUGGAAGCCAAUGGAAAUUGUGCCCAGACUUACACUCCUCUAGUCCCUAGGCACACGUAAAUGUCCUAGGCCACAAGUUUUAAUUCAAUGACUUUGAUAUCAACAAAAAACUAUUAACUUGAUUUUGACAUAUAAAGGUUUACAAAACUAACUUUAAGUUUUUGAAUAUUCAGCUUUAAUAGAUUAUGAGGAGACUCACGACUAGACUCGCCGAGUCAGAUGAGAGACUCGUCGAGUCUGCUCCAUGCAAGAGCCAUAUAUGUGUUUUUGCUCGAAUCUAAUCCAUUCCAUUCAUAGAUCUGGGUUCCUAGAGCAUGAAUAACACAUAAAGUUUCCAACAAGUUUCCAACUUUACGUGUAGAUAUUCCUCCAUGAGGGUUUUAGGGUUCAAAAUGCACCAAAAGAGUAGAUCUAAGGUCUUCAUGCAAUAUAGGUCCAUAAAGGUAGUAGAUCUGAGCUCCUGGAGCUCAACCAAGUCUAGAUCUAGAGACCAAUCAACUUAUUACGAAAUAUGAUGCACAUACAAGCUUGGGGAAGGGCUCAAGGAAGACUUUAAUGGAGUUAUAAGCAUAUAGACAGGGGGAAAACGAGUUUUACCUCAAGGAAAUCACUGAGAGGACACUAAGAUGCUUGGCUUCCUUCCCUUCCUCUUGAUCUACUCCACUUCCUUCUCAAAAUCUUCAAGAACACACCCUAAAAUGCCUUAAACUCACAAGAACAAGAGUUAGGACGUAUGGAGAGGUUCUGGGGGUGAAUGGGGCGGAGUUGGGGCGCAAAUGGGUGUUUAAAUAAGGUGCAAACCCUUGGAAAUUAGGGUUUCAUCAAACAGCACAAACUCGCCGAGUCCCUAAUAUGGACUCGUCGAGUUGCCAUCUUAUCCGCGCCCCAAAGUCUCGUCUCUACUCGGCGAGUCGGGCCUCUAACUCGCAGAGUCCACGGCCAAAAACACAAAUACUUAAGGCAAAACUCACGUACCAGGAACCAGGUGCUAUAUAUAUAUAUAUAUAUAUAUAUAUAUAUAUAUAGAGAGAGAGAGAGAGAGAGAGAGAUUAUUGUUGUAGAUGUACAUAAUAAUCAAAUAAAAAUAAAAUAACCAUGUGUCCCUUUUUGAGUUUUUGUUUAUAUCAACCUAAUCUUAAAACUUCAUUCAACACAAAAAAAUGUGACAUUUAGGUAUAAAUGGUUUAUUCUUGUCUUGAUAGUUAUUAACUUAAUGGAUUUUUUUGGCUUGGAAUUCGACUUCUAAGAGAUCUAACAUUAUGGUUGGGGGUAUUUCAGAGAAACAUUGUUGAAUCCAAACAAAUGCAUGAUUUCCAAUUUGUGAAAAUCAUAUUCUUUAAGCUAGGAUAGGGGGAAACAACAAAAAAAUACAUAUGUUUUUCCUUUGUAGAUCUAAAAUUCUUAGACUUUUGGCCCUAAGACUAUCUGUUAUACUCUCCACGACAACGAUCGUGGAGAGCUUCCAGAUCAGCCACCGAAGCAACCACGAACCACCCCACUACAACCGGAGUACUCUCCACUGAUAACGAAGAGAAAUAACUAAGAGAGAGACAGAAGAAGGCUGAGAGAGAAGAAAUUUGUCAAGAAGCCAUGAUUGGGCGUUACGUCUCAUCUUCGGCACCAUGAGCCAUCACGAAAACGACGAACCACGACCGGACGGGGUGGUCUGCACGGUUGUUGUCUGUGGCCACGUAGACCACAACUGGGUUCGUGGUCCAUAUACUGGAUGGCCUAAACAUUUUUUUUUGAAACAUGGUACGUCUUGCUUCACCACUUUGUAUGUUGGUCCCACUAGAUAAGAAAAAAGUGUUCUUACCUAUUUUAUCCUUAUUCAGAGCCAAGUAUAGGGAUUUUUUUUACCAGUUAUGUAUUUGACCAAUAGUUUUUUCUUAAUGGGCCAAACACGUAAAAAUACUAUUUUAGCUAAAAAGGAAACAUUUCAAAUAGAUCAAACAUUUUAAUAGAAAUCCAUAGUAUAUUGAAGUAUUUUCAACCAUCCUAACUUGCUUUAAUUAGUCCAAACAAUUUGAUCAUGUUUUAAUACCCUAAUCUUAUUCAUAUUUAAUAUAUUAAUUAUAUAUGAAAUUGAAAAAAGUGUUUGCAGGUUAGCCCAAUACGGUUAAACGGUAUCUUACGGUUUGUGUUUUGAUAUUGCAUCCUACAUGCCAAUUUGCCACAUAUAAGGCUGAUAUAUCUAGAACCAUCGAUUUUUGUGGAAAAGUACGCAAGGUAAUUAGGUAUUGUGACAAACUUACACAUAUUUUAUGAAGAAAUAAAUAGGAGAUAUAAAUAUUCUUUCCCAUGAAUUGCCUACCUUCUUUACUUUUUUGAAGGAUUGGCCAUAGCUAUAUUGUUUUUGUAUUACAAUUUGCAUCGUGGUAUGUUUUUCAUCUUGUUUAACUAUGUUCUUACUCAUAAAAUUGCUUUGUUUGAACUUACGCUUAGUUUCAGGAUUAGUUUGACUAGUAACUUUGAAUAAUAUUUGAUAAGUAGUGGAGCCUUGUUGAUGAAAUCAAUGUGAUUAACAUUAAAUAUCUGGUCAGCAGUGGAACCUUGUCAUAUCAUCAUCUUGUUAAUUGUUUGGUCAUGUAUGCUAAAAAAUCAAAUUACAAAAAGAUGAUGAAGGUAUCAAAAGAAACAAGGAAGCAGGAUCGAAGAUGGACAUUUGCAUUUUACAAGCUGAAUGUACAACCUUUAAUAUAAGACUAUUCUCAAAGAGGAUGGGGAGUGGGGAGGGGAAGAAAAUUGAUCCAGGUCUUAUGCAUUCCAAAUGCAGGUACAUUCCUACAUAAUAAAGGAGGCUUAAAAGAGAAGAAAAGUGAUACCGAAGAUGCAUAUGAGGAACUAAUCUUGGAAGAACUACAGAAAACACAUACUUAACUAUUUGAAAAAUAGCCAAGGCAUGCAACUUAAAUGAAUCCCAGACCAUAAAUUUCCCAAGCCACCAUUUGCAAAAGUGUGCUUCACCUAAAAAAAAAAUGAAAAAUGAAAACGAUAUCGUUUUGGACGUUGUUGACUGUGGAAAGUGAAAUCAUCUGUGAUUUAAAAAAAAUGUAUUAUCAUGUCAUGUUGACUGCGAAAUUCAAAGACCAUACUGUGAAAAUCAUAACCUAUGGUAUGAAAAUUUGCACAUUGUAGAGGAUGUUAUCUUAUAAGAGAUUGCUUUGUAAAAAAGAGUUAUCAAAACCAAUUGUCUGCAUUUUUUAGCACAAUUUUCACUAUGUUUUUUCUUCUGAUUUCCUUAGCAAUUUUUUCCACCUUACCCUUUUGCUCUUGCCGAGAUAACAUGAGUUCAAACAUUGUACAUGACUAAUUGUUGUUUUUUGUUGGUGGUUGAUGGCAGUUAGAAACAACAUGUUUAUACAAUGCAACAAAUCGAUAUGUUGUUGGUGGGAACCGAUCUAGCAGCAGAAGAGGGUCCGGUAGUAAAAGAUGGAAAAAGUUUUGCUAAGAACAGAUACAUAGAAGAGGUAGCAACAAUCAAAUAGGUAUCUGUAUCUCUCUAAAUGAUUAUCACGAUGUUGGUGGAUAUGUUGCGUUCCAAUAACAACUCAAUUCACAAGUAGUUUCUGAAAACCAAUACACGUAUUGACAAAUUCAAUAUGUUGAUCCCAGAAGAUAUUCUGUACCAUAUCAAACACUAAUACCACCAUAUCAAACGUCGAUAACACCAUUUGAAAGGCCGAUUGUAUAAUAUCAAAUGCCAAUUAUACAAUACAACCUAUUUUUCCAUUCUAAAAAGUGGGUCGCCGAAAGGAGAGGAAAGUGGUAUUGAAGAUGCAUAUAUAUGUGUAACUAACCUUGGAAUAACUGUAGGAAACAUACACUCAACUACUAGAAAAAUGGACUAUGGUCUGUAACUCAAAUGAGUCCAUGAACCGCAAUUAACUAUUUUUGUUGAUUAUCAAGACUAGCUAAGAGUAAACGUAAAUAAGAAUAAAAGGCAAAUACAAGUAGAAAGAAGUAUAUUGAAUCAAAUUGUAUCUGAAUUGAAAGCAACAAAAAGGAAUAUCAAGAUGUUAAACCCAUGAAAUCUCAAACCCAUUGAAAAUCUUGCAGCAUGACAAUGCUCAAAGACACAUCAAGGGCUUACACUCAAGAAAAAAGGUGAUAAAACAAAAAACCUAUUGCUUUUGUGUAUGCUCGACGGCUUUGAGUUAUCUUAUUAUUUAUUCCAUAUCUUGAUGUGUCUGAGCAUGUUGAUGUUGUAAUUUGAUAACUUUGCAUCAGUUCUGUACUCUUCUCUUUGCGUAACCAUUCUAUUUCAGCUUCCCUUUGGAUUUGAAUUCUAUGUUACCUGCUGAGUUGAUUUAAGUCCCACCUUCAAAUUUUCUUCAAAAGUUACCUCUUGCUAAACCCCUCAUAAGAAAUGUUCAUGCACAAACUCCCACCUAUUCAAUAAAUCUUGCUAAAUCCCUGAAUUAAAUCACAGAAACCAAUAAAAGAUGAAGGUGUAAGAAACAAAACACCACCAAAAACCACAACAACCAUGCAUGUACGGUGUUGUUUAUCAUUCAUAAUAACAUAACCAAGACCAAAACUUUCCCCCUUUGCAUGAAAAAAGAAAAAGAAAAUUUACAAAUAGAAAAAUAGAUAAUAAGUGGAUACCUGAUUCUUACUUAACUAUUUGAAAAAUAGACCAAGAUAUGUAACGUAAAUGAGUCCUUGAUUUUACAAUUAACUAUUGUUGUUGAUGAUCAAUACGAACCAAGAGUAAAAGUAACAAUUUGGAAAAGCAAAAUACAAAAAGAAAGAAGUAUAGGCAAUAAACUCGUAUUUGAUUUGAAAGCAACAAAAUGGAAAAUCAAGAUGUUGACCACAGGAAUUGUCAAACCCAUGGAAAUUCUUGCAGCAUGACAAUGCUCAAAGACACAUCUAGGGCUUAAACACAAGAAAAAAGCAAUAACACAACCUUGACUUCUUUUAAGUUUUUUCUUUAUUGAUUCCAUAUAAUGUUGUGUCUCCAAUAAUGAUGUGUCUGACCAUUUACAUGUUGUAACUCGAUAACUUCUUGCAUCAUAUCCGUAUUCUCUUUUGGUAGUCGUUCUAUCUCAGCUUCCAUUUGAAUUGUUCACUGAUUUGUUACCUGCUGGGACUAAUUAGACUGCCACCUUGGAAUGUUCUUCAAAUGCAACCUCUUGCUAGACCCUUCAACAUCGUUCACUUGCAAACACCCAUCUGUCCCAAUAAAUCUUGAGAAAUCCCUGAAUCAAACUAUACAAACCAGUAAACGAGAAUGCGCACGAAAUUAAACAACACCAAAAAACCAGAGAAACCAUGUAUUUUGUUAUUUUUUGUUCACAAGAGUAGGGCCAAAACAUCAACCAAGGCCUAACCUUUCAGCUUUCAUCCUUCACCCAAUCAUCUUCUUCCUCAACAUGAAAAACAAGAACAUCAAGAAAAAAAAAUCGAUAAUGAGUCGAUCGAUUACCUGAUUCUUAGUUGGAGCCAUGGAGAUGAAAAGUGGUGGAUGCUACAACAAGUCAGUGCGAGAGAAGUAGCAGGUGAUCAAGAGCACAAUAGCUUAUUACAAAUGUCAUACAAACCUAUAGUCUAAUAAUAACAACUUGAUAUUAUAUAAAUACCGAAUAUAACAAACAUUCCAAGAUUUAAAUUAUAAAUCCACGUUACAAACACAGAUCCAAAGAUUCACUGAUAAACAUAUAUCCAAGAACUACUCGGAUUCCAAGGAUCUAUGUGGCUUCUUGUCCUCUCUUCAUCUUGGCAACUCUUACCACGAUUGCAACGUAUAUCUUGUCCACAGUUUCAUCAGCAAACAUGAAAAUCUUGUGUCUCCAGUGCUUCUUCAACAACAAAACUCCAAUAACACCCCAAAACCCUGUCGCAAAACCACUCAUAAUAUCUAGGUAAAACCACCAUACCUUCAUCGACUCCUCAGCUGCUUUAUGUUUCUUCUUGGGCAUUGUGAUUGGGUCUUGAUGAUCUGAGCAAUCCUUUGGCAAUGGAGGUCCACAAAGAUCUCUGUUCCCAGAAUAUAUUGAUGGAUCAUCAAUAAGGGUCUGCAACUGACUUCCUGUUGGAAUUCAUCCCGACAAGUUGUUGUGUGACAGAUUCAGAUGGCUCAAAAAAGUCAACGCUGCCAUGCUUGGAGGGAUCAUCCCGGUCAACUUGUUUCCAUAUAAAUCGAGGGAUUCUAACCUUGUCAUGUUUCAAAUGCUGUAUGGAAUCAUCCCACUGAGAUGAUUAUUGGACAAUUUGAGACCCAACAACGUACAAAGUGCAGUUAGCUCGACAGGUAUUACUCCAACAAGUUUAUUGCUUGAAAGGUCCAUGUUGAAAACUAUAUCCCAAUUUGUUGUAUAUUCAAGAUCAACACCUUUCAUCACCUGAAUCACAUUCUCGUUGGGAUCAUAAAUGACAUUAUACUGCUUUUCUGCACCCUUCACCAUUGCAUUCAACUCUCUUAGGCAAUGAGGGAUGUUUCCCCUUAAGUUGUUGUAUGCAACAUCCAAAAUUUGAAGUUUCGACAUUUUGCACAAAGAUUCUGGAAUUUCCCAUGUAACCUUAAAACCAUCAAAUCUGUCAGCUUUUCUCCGAUCCAGUGGGGUAUGUUUCCGAACAGUUGAUUAUCACCCACAUCUAACACUCUUAAAGCUUGUAAAUUUCCCAAUUCUCGGGGAAGUUUACCUGUGAACUUAUUGUCGUUCAGUUUUAACCAAUACAAAUAUGAAUGCUUGAGACCUAUAUGGCUUGGAAUGACACCUGAAAGCAAAUUCGAGCUUAAUAUCAGGUUUUGCAACUCUUGGAGAUUCUGGAGACACUUGGGAAUUCUCCCUGUUAACCUAUUUCUGGAAAGGUCAAGAUAUCUUAAAUCUGUCCUUCUGCACAGUGACCUUGGAAUCGACUCGUUGAAAAUGUUAUUUACCAGUAUUAAUGCCUCUACAUAUACCACAUAUUUCUCAAAGACAUUUUUCCCAUUAGGAAGGUUUGUCAAAGGUCCAUUGAGUUUGUUGUGAGAGAGAUCUAAGAAAUAAAUGACAGGCAUCUCCCGCAACCAUGUGGGCAGAGGUCCAGAAAUUGAAGCAUUCGACAACACUAAGACAGAGAGCUCCCUUUGAUUUCGAAGCCACUGCGGAAAUCCAUUUGUAAUAUUGCAAGAACUGAGAUGAAGAAUUCUCAAUUGGAAUGGAGGAAUCCACUCACAUGAAACAUUGAAUGUUAACUUGGCGUUAGAAGAAGCAUACAAGUACCUCAACAUGGAAAUGUUAGCAAAAUGGGCUUCGGAAACUACUCCUUCUAAGGAAUUGACUGAGAUAUCUAGUGAAAUGAGUUUGGCAAGUUGCCCAAUUGAGACGGGAAUAGUCCCAUUUAACAAAUUUGAAGAAAGAAGAAUAUCUUGUAAUGAAACAAGUCUUCCUAGAGAUGCUGGGAUGCGGCCUGUUAAGUGAUUGGAUUGUAAAUACAAAGAUUCUAAAGCUGCUAGAUUUCCAAAGGAUUCUGGAAUUGAACCAUUCAAUUGGUUAUAAGAAAGGUUAACUCUGGAAAGAUUCCCAAGGAAUGUAGGAAUGGGACCCGUCAACUCGUUAUCAUGUAGAUCUAAUACCUCUAAGAAUCUUAAUCUUCCUAGAGAUUCAGGGAUUGGACCUGUCAAACUGCUAUUCCAUAGACUUAAGACUCUCAAAUUGGUUAGUCUUCCAAAUGCUUCUGGAAUCGUACCAUUCAAACACCAACUUAAAUCCAACCGCUCCAAAGCAUAUUGGGAGCAUUCUGAAACGUUUUGCGGUGGGUCAAUCCUUUCUAUUUCAGAAGGAUUCCUCAAUGCAAACAACUGUUUCAGGUGACACUGUCUCCAGAUUCCUACAUCCUCAAUAUUCGUAAGCUGGUUAACAGAAAGAUCAAGCUCUAGAAGGUUAGCCAUAAUAGGAACCGAAGAAUGCAGCAUGUUUCUUGAGAGAUCAAGGACUCUUAAGGAACUCAUGUUACUGAAAACAGAUGGAAAUAUGCCUUCAAUUGAAUUCCAGCUAAGAUCCAGGUGUUGGAUGUUAGAAAGCAUACUGAUAUUAAAAUGAGCGGAAGAUAGAAAAGUCUUAUCUAGCCCACAAAGUGACAAAUGCAGCUCUAAUAAAGAAGGGAUCAUGUUUAGCAAGUUUGCAAAGUUCCAUGCCAAACUAAGAUUAAAUUUAGAAAGAUCUAGGAAUGCUAGGGAUGUCAUGUUUCGGAAAAAUCCAGGGAGUGAAGUUUUCAAAGAAUUUAAGCCAAGAUCAAGGUGUUUUAUGUUGGCAAGAAUUCUACUCGAAUUAAGAAAAGGACCAAGAUGGACAUUGGAAAGUCCACAACCACGCAAACUUAACUCUUUUAAUGAAAGAAGAUUGUAAAGCACCAUGUCCAUGUUCUUUGCUCCGCCAAGAUCCACCCAACUCAAAUCGAGAUGCUCGAGUGAUGGAAGGCCAAAAGUCCAUGACAUAUCAUCUGAUGUCAGAUUAUAAUUUGAACUGAGAUCCAAAACCUUUAAAUUAGAAAGAUUUCCAAUGUGAGGAGGAAUAAUACCUUGAAAACCAGCAUAAGAGAGAUUGAGAUAUCUCAGCUGUUUGAAGGAUCCUAUGAACUUAGGGAUCCGGCUUCCACGUAAAUCAUUCCAACUCAAGUCCAGGUACUUGAGAUGCCUCAACUCAGCCAAAGAAGAGUUCACCUCUUUACCAACUAAGUAUUUGUCUCCUUCGCCACCAAAAUAAUAAUCUCCUCUGAGAUUGAGGCUGUCAACCGUUCCAGUGAGACUGUCGCAGUGGAUUCUUUCCCACAGGAAACAAUCCUCCCCCACCCAUGAUGACAACAUUCCUUUAGACUCAUAUUUGAUGUUGUGUUUGAACGUGAGAAGAGCAAGUUGCUCUUUCUAAGAGCAAACCACACUCACAUUUCCAACACCCAAACAAUUAUAUGUGGCUGCAAUCAAAACAACAAACACGAAAAUGAGAUGGAGCCCCAAACCCCUCGGAGUCCCCAUUAUCAAUCCUCCCUAACUCGGUUUAAUUUAGAAGAAAGUUGAAGUGGAAAGGUAUUGUGUUAUGAUGAAGUGAUAGAUUGUUAUGAUGAAGAAACCAGUUCAUUUAUAAUACCACAAAUGAAGACAAAGCUCUUAUGCACUCUGCAACAUGAACUCGCUGAGUCCAUGGGGGGACUCGACGAGUCCAUGAGUAAACUCAUCCUACUCGUCGAGUAGGUUCUUGCACUCGACGAGUAGGAGCCACAGAAUGCAGUUUUUACGAGUUUUGCUGCUGGAAAUGGACUAAAAAAAUUACCCUAAACUGUUUUGCUACUAGAAAACUUGUUUUAGAUGGUGUAAUGGUUAUGCUAAUCCAUUUUCAAUAGCUAUUAUCAGAACUUCAAGUUUUAUAUGGUUAAUUUUAUGAUUCUUGAAAUCGUUGAUAUGCAUGUUCAUGAACUUGUGAGUUUAGAAGAUCAUAGGAAUUAUUUGUAACUUGCUUGUUAGUUUAAAUCUUGAUCAUUAUGUGUUUUAAUGGAAUCUAUAAUUUGUCCUCAAGUUAUGGAUUGCCAAAAGUCACACUUUUAAAGACCAUUAAAGAAACACAUAAGUUACAUAAAAUGAAAAGUCAAUCAUUUUAUUAAACCAUUAAUUCAUAAAUUAUGAAAGAUGAAAACUUUUGAAAGUUACAAAACUUGCCCUCAAGUUUUGGAACAUGUAAAGUCACUCUAAAAACUUUAGUUCCAACCCCUAGAAUUUUAAAAGUUAAAAUUCAACCGUUAUACUUUAUAAUAUUAUAUUAUAAGUUUAAUAAUAAUUAUAUAUGUAUAAGUAAAAUUCGUUUUACCAUUACUCUUAAGAGUAAAUCAGUUGUUAUCACUCCUACUCCUACCGCGACCCCUAUCUUCGCAAUCGAACAAGGCAAAGGAAAGAAGAGGAAGAGCCCUUCGAAGGGUACCAAGGGAAAGUCUCUUGAUGGCUCCUCUUCAAGUGGAACCAAGAAAGGUUUUGUCACUCCUUCUGCUAACCCUAAAGAGGUGGAAUGCUUCUAUUGCCAUGAAAAGUUGCAUUGGAAGCGAAACUGCCCAAAGUACCAGCAAGUCGUGAAGGAUGGGAAAGUUAAACCCAACCAUGAAGGUACUUGACACGAUUAGCAUGGUCCAUUUGGGUUGCAUGGCAUCAUGCAUUUGUAUAGACUAAAAUGAAAGAAAUAACACUUAAGGUUUAUUAAUAUAUUAUAAGUUCUAAUAUAUUAAUAGUAUUAUUUAAUUAGUAUUGAUCAAGAAUUAAUUUGGAAUUACUUAAGUGAUCAAAAGAAGACUAAUUAAAUAUAUGGGUUGAUUGUGUAAGUCAUCCAUACUUGUAUAGUGGGCUUAUGCUCCAUGGAUUAUCAAGUUGGGCUAAAACUCAUAGGAUGCUCCAUGGAUGUUCCAUGAUGUUUAUAGAACCCAUGGGUCAUGGAAAUGAAAAGUUGUGACAAUUAGGGUUUACAUAGUGUAACCCUAAUUGCAACACGCUAUAUAAGCAUCAUGUUGUAGACCAAAAUUGGCCACUAAGGAUACAAUUGAGGGCUAGCCAAUUUCUAAGUGUUCUUCAUUUCUCUCUAAGUUAUUCCAAGUGCAUUUGGUGUUGUGUGAGACAUUUAAGGCAUCACACUUGAGGUGCUAGGCUCACAAGAUUUUCAAGGAAUCCAAACUAGUACAAGGUAUGAAUUUCUUACUCACUUUUAUGAUUAAAAAUUCCUCAUGUAUGCUAGAUAGGUUAUAAACCUUGGAAAAACAAAUUUGCAUGUAUCAUAGAUAAAACAUAGAUCCAAGGUUUUUAGGGUUGCAUGUACACCAUAGGAGUGUUAGAAUGCUCAAAACCCUACAUUGUACCUGAACCUAGGAAAAACACAAGAGCUAGAAAAGCUAUAUCUUUUGGAUCUGAUUUUCAACUUUAUUUGGUUGAAGGAACAAGGAAUGAGACUAUAUGUCAACAUCAAUAUUGUUUUAAUAUUGAAGAGGAUCCAAAUACUUUUAGUGAAGCUAUGGCUUCUAAAGAUGUUCAGCAAUUCAGGAUGUAAUUGAUUCUAUCAUGCAUAACAAUACUUGGGUAUUGUCUAGUUUACCUCCUGGUUGCAUGGUUGCAAGGUAUUGGGAAGUAAGUGGAUCCUCAAAAGAAAAAUGAAGGUGGAUGGAACAAUUGAUAAGUAUAAAGCCAGAUUGGUUAUCCAAAGCUUUAGGCAAAAAGAAGGCAUUGACUUCUUUGAUACUUAUGCUCCUGUUGCUAGAAUUUCCACAAUUAGAUUAUUGUUAGCUCUUGCAGUUAUACAUAAUCUUGUGAUUUACCAAAUGGAUGUGAAAAAUGCAUUCUUGAAUGGUGACUUGGAUGAGGAAAUUUACAUGAAACAACUUGAAGGGUUUGUGAUGCCUGGUAAUGAACAUAAGGUGUGCAAGUUGAAGAAAUCAUUAUAUGGUUUGAAACAAGCACCGAAACAAUGGCAUCAAAAGUUUAAUGAUGUGAUAUUGUCUAAUGGUUUUGCAUUAAACCAGGGUGAUAAAUGUGUAUAUAGCAAAUUUGAUUCUUCUGGUAAAGAAAUUAUAAUUUUUCUAUAUGUUGAUGAUGUAUUAAUUUUUAGUACCGAUCAAGGUGAAGUUGAUAAAACCAAGAAAUUCUUUUCAUUGUUGGAUUAUUUAUUGUGUUGUGUCAAAUUUACUUUGUAAGUAAUUAGCCUUUAUCAAACGGAUUGGGCUUGUCCAUACGUCAUUAUGGUGCUAGGGUUAGGUUAUAUAUAUUGCAUGCAUGUAUUGUAUUAGGGUUAAUCGUUUUGUGAUUCCCUACUUUGUCUUUACAUAAAAGUUCAAGUCGAACUCUUCUAAGGCAUUGAUUAUUAAUCAUUCAGCACAACUUCGAUUAUUGUUCUUCCUGUUUUGAUUCAUAUUAUUGUUCUGAAUCUAUCACUCUAUUAUUUAUUGUUUCAACAAUUGGUAUCAGAGUAGGAGAUUGUGUAAACCAUACACAAUUCUUCUGUCGAGUGUUAUUAGUGUUUUUCCGCUUUUACUGGAUCUGUUCUUGCCGUCUUCAUCAUUUUCAUCAAUUGUAGAUGUUGGAUCUUGAUCCUUAUUGUGCCCUUAACUCGAUUAUCGUUUUACACAUUUGACUCUUUACAGCCCUUUGCGAAUCAACAUCAUGCAACCAGAAGACCCUCAUACUAUCUCCUUUAAUAUAUUGUUCUACUACCAGGAUCCUUAUUCUCUUUCCACAAGACUAUGUAGUAUGGGCUUUACACUUCGAAGACUACGUUCUUGGUCUUGAAGAUCAUGUCACAUUAAUUUGGGAAGCUAUGAUUCAACAGACGUUCACUCACACUGCCAAAAGGAGGGUUAUUAAAACGCGAGCAAAAUACAAUGCUCUUCUUGUUGAUGUUAAAGAUGUUCCUCAAGACGAAAGAGACAAGCUGAUAAGUAAUGUCAAUGCAAUGAGGAUAAUCAGGUUCGCUCUUCCUUCAGACACGUUUCUUCUGGUGAGUUCUUGUGAAACAGCGAAGAAGGUUUGGGAUAGGAUGAAAGAACUCUAUUCGAGUGAUGCAGAUCUUGAGCAGUUAGGUAAAGAACUACUUCUUUCGGAGUUUGGUGCUUUUGCUCAAAAGCCAAAUGAGAAACUCUAUGUUGACUUCAACUUAACAUGCUCCUUUGGAUUGUUAUUUGGGUUUAGCUCUAACAAUGACUAUAUAGUUAGAAUAAUGGUUUUAUGUUUAUUGGGGUGAUAAAAGCAUUGCCAUUCGGAACCAUUCAUUUCAAAGGGAUUAUAUAUGAAUGGAUUUCUACAAGAACUUUCAUGUUUACACUAUGGUUUACUCUGCUUUGUUGCAUUUAUCAUUUUCACUACACCAAUUGUUGUAGAAAUACAUAAAUAAUUAUGUAAAAACAAAAUCACACAUAUGACCCUUUUUGUUUAUAUCGACACAAUCAUAAAACUUCAUUCAACAUAGAAAAUGUGACACUUAUGUAUAAAUAGUUUAUUCUUGUCUUAUAGUUAUUCACUUAAGGGAGGUUUUGGUUUGGUUGAAUUAGACUCCUAAGAGAUUUAACAAUGUGGUUGUGGCUCUUAUAAAGAAACAUUGUGUAAUCUAAACAACUUCAUGAUUUCCAAAAUGGUGGAAAUCAUAUUUUGUAAGCAUGGUAUAUUUUUCAUCAUCUUUAACCAUGUUCUUACUCAUAAAAUUGCUUUGUUUGAAAUUUGACGGUUUUCGGAUUAUGUUUUACUAAUAGUCAAAUUUGAUAAAUAGUGGAACCUUAUUGAUUAAAUGGAUGAGAUUAACAUUAAAUAUUUGGUCAAUAGUGGAACCUUGUCAUAUCAUCUGGUUAAUUGCUUGGUCUUCUAUGUUACAAAAUCAAAUUGAACAAGAUGAUGACAAGUUUCAAAAGAAACAAAGAAGCAUGGAUCGAAUAUAGGAUAAUAAUCUGCAUUUUACAAGCUAAAUGUACAACCUUUAAUAUAAGAAGUUCUCUAGCAAUUGUUUCAUCAUGGACUAUAUUUAAUGUACAUGAAAGGAAGAACAAUGUGUUGCUUUCUUCAAACACUACAUAAAUGAAUUCAAAACCUGAUCAUAUAACCUAAACUAUAUAUGAAGAUGAAAGUACUAUGGUGGCUUUUGUAACACAAGGCAAGAUUUCUAAGACUAUUUUCAAAGAGGGUCGGGCGUGGGGGGAUUGAUUUCUUUUGCACAACCAAAGAACAAGAGCAAGUCACCAUCUCAUCUUUUUGGGCAGGACAAAAAAUUGCAAUUUGUCUCAUUGGCAUUAAUCCCGGUUUUAGCACACCAAAUAUUGGUACAUUUCUAUGUAAUAAAGGAGAUGUAGAAGAGAAGAAAAAUGAUACUAAAGAUGUAUAUGAGGAACUAAUCUUGGAAGAAAACUAUAGGAAACAAGUACUUAACUACUUUGAAAAAUAGAUCAAGAUAUGUAACAUAAAUGACUCCUUGAUUUUACAACUAACUAUUGUUGUUGAUUGAUGGUCAAGACAAACUGAGAGUAAAAGUAGAAACUUGAAAAAGCAAAUACAAAAAGAAAGAAGUAUAUGCAAUCAAUCAACUUGUAUCUAAAUUGAAAGCAACAAAACGGAACAAGAAGAUGUUGAACCGCAGGAAUUGCCAAACCCUUGGAAGUUUUUGCAGCAUGACAAUGCUCAAAGACACAUCAAGGGCUUAAACACUCAAGAGAAAAGUAAUAACACAACAACACAACUUGCUUAUGUCCAUGCUUGAUUUCUUUUAAGUUUUCUCUUUGUGUAAUUGUUUGAUCUCAGCUUCCAUUUGAAUUGUUGUUCAUUUGUUUGCUACCUGCUGAGACUGAUUAGACUUCCACCUUGGAACGUUCUUCAAACGCCACCUCUUGUUAAACCCCUCAGAACCACAUGUCCCAAUAAUUCUAGAGGAAUCUCUGAAUCAAAUCAUGCAAACCAGUAGAAGAGAAUAUGCAAGAAAUUAAACUAACACCAAAACCCACAAACAAACCACAAAAAUCACACAAACCAGUUGUUCUUACUUUAUGUUCAAAAGAGCAGGGACAAAAUAUUAAUCAAUACCUAAACUUUACCCCUUCACCCAAUCAUCUUCUUCCUUAACAUGAAAAACAAGAACAUCUAGAAAAAAAAAAUGGAUAAUGAGUCGAUUACCUGAUUCUUAGUUGGAGCCAUGAAGAUGAUAAGUGAUCGAUGCUGCAGCAGAUUGGUGCAAGAGAAGUGACAGGUCAAGAGCACAAUAGCAUACAAAUAUAGUCUAAUCUAAUAACUAGAUAUUAUAUAAAAAUACUGAAUGAUAAAUACAACAAACAUUUUAAAAUUGAAACCUUUAAACAACAUCCACAUUACAAACAUAGAUCCAAAUAGUAGCAUUAAAACAAAAACUUCAUUGAUAACAUAUAUCCGAGAAUUACUUGCAUUCCAGAGCGCCUAUACAGCUUCUCUUCCUCUCUUGAUCUUGGCAACUGUUACCAUGACUCCAACGUAUAUCUUGUCCAUGAUUUUCUCAACAAACAUGAAAAGCCUCCAUCUCCACUGCUUCUUCAACAACAGAACUCCAAUUACACCCCAAAAACCUGUUGCAAAUCCACUCAUGAUGUCCAGGUAAAACCACCAUACCUUGAAAACCAGCAGCAGAGAGAUUGAGGUACAUCAGCUGUUUGAAGGAUCCAAUGAACUCAGGGAUCCGGCUUCCACUGGCAACAAUCCUUACCCACCCAUGAAGACAAGAUUAUAAACUCAAUUUUGAUGUCCAAUCAUUUUACACAACUAACUACAAGAAAAUAAUUUUUUUGUUAUUAUUUGACUUGACAUGGUUGAUGUGCCAAGCCCAAGCCUAAUUAAAAGAUACUUUCUUCUNNNNNNNNNNNNNNNNNNNNNNNNNNNNNNNNNNNNNNNNNNNNNNNNNNNNNNNNNNNNNNNNNNNNNNNNNNNNNNNNNNNNNNNNNNNNNNNNNNNNAAAGAAUAUGUUCUCGACAAGGAUCUUAACGAACUUGAGUCGUCUGCUACUCCUAAGGAGAUCGUUGAAUAUGAGGCACAUGAAAGAGAUGCUACCAAGGUGGCAUGCAUCAUGUUGGCCACUAUGACAGCCGAGCUCCAAAAGUCCUAUGAGGACUACUAUCCUUUUGAGAUGCACUAGGAUUUAAUGGACCGCUACCAUCAGAGUUGUAACAACCCAAAAAUCAUGACUAAAAAUUUCUUUAAAAACAUUACUAAAAUCAUAUUUAUAAAAACUGUAUCAUAAGUCAUAACAUAAAUUCUCGAGUAUUAAUUCAAAACAUAAUAUCAUUAUCAGAGUCAAACAUUCCCAGGCUAACUGACUAUGAUGUGUGCACUGCAAUCUUUCCCGAGCUCCUCUUUUGAAAACUGAGUACCUGAAACCAAAACUGAAAACCAUAAGCACGAAGCUUAGUGAGCUCCCCCAAUCUACCACAUACCAUGCAAUAACCUAUAAAGCACAUACUAGGCCUUGCCCACUGCAUCGGACCGAGGUCCGGACUGACUGGGGCCUUGCCCCCUGCAUCGGACCGAAGUCCGGAAUCUGACUGGGACCUUGUCCCCUGCAUUGGACCGAAGUUCGGACUAACUGGGGCCUUGCCCCCCUGCAUCGGACUUAAGUCCGGAAACUGACUGGGACCUUGUCCCCUGCAUCGGACCGAAGUCCGGAAACUGACUGAACAUAGCAUAGCAUAACAUAUCAACUAGCAUGAACACAUAUACUGCAUAUUGCAUCGGGCUGUAGCCCGGAACACAUAACACAUAAAUCCUGUCUGAGCCACGAAGGCAUCAAACAUACUAACUACUGCAUCGGACCGAAGUCCGGAAACUACUGCUAACUGAACGGGUCGGCAUUGUGGCCUUAGACCCGUUCCUACUGGAAGGAAACUCACCUGAUACUGCUGAACUGCUGCUGCUAAUCCCUUUGACUGCUACCUGACCUCUGACUUCGAACUGCUGCUCCACUAGCUCCUCGAGCUACCAAUAUCAAUAUAACACUUAGUCCAACUGACCUCCAAACGUCAACUAAGUCACCUCUGGUCAAAGUCAACCUUCUGGGUCAACCCUACUUGCCGAGUCCACCUAAUGACUCGCCGAGUUCAUAUGCUCAGGGUCUUUCUAUUCGCGACUCGACUCGUCGAGUCAGUCCAUGACUAGCUGAGUCAACUAUUCCCGAGUCCUGACCUGUCCAACUCGCUGAGUCUCCACACAACUCACUAAUCUGAGCCUUGACUCGAAGGGUUUGGGGUUUCGCGACUUGACUCGCCGAGUCCAUGAACAGACUCGUCGAGUCCAAGGCAAUCUUCAACAGACUCGCCGAGUUGUUCAUCCAACUCGUCGAGUUCAUCUCCAUCUUCAUACUACUCGCCGAGUCCACUCAAAGGACUCGNUUGUCAUGGAAGACAAUUUAUAUCCACAAACUUGUAUUUUUUGGUCUUGGGAUAAUUUUCAAUUUUUCUUGAUCAAUUUAAGUCCUUUUUUGGCUACUUUUGCAUGAAAUACGUAAUUCUGUUUAAGUCCUUUUUUGCCUAUUUUUUUUUUUUAUCAAUCAAAAUUAAAUGGUCUAUAAUGCACCUACAGUUGGCAUGUUACAAUCAUAUUUUAUCCUAAAAUAUCUUUAAUAUAAUUAGAUUUAAACAUUAAAGAAAUUAUAUAAUAGUUUUUUGAGUAAAUUACAUGAAUGGAGUCAUGUAGUUUUGGGUAAUUUGUGUGUAUGGUCCUUAACUAUUUUUUCUAACUCGGACGGUCCUUAUAGUUUGGUUUUGUUUAGGUUUUGUGUCCCCAAACAAAUUAAUAUGACUAUCUUGCUCUCAAUGUAGAUUAGCAUAAACCACAGGGACCAUUUGUGUAAUUUACUCUAGUUUUUUCUUUUAAGUUUGAUACCACUAUUGCUACAAUUUUUUUGGCUUGAAUUGGAACACUGUUGGGUAUAUUCUAUGUUGAAGGUCAUCACUAGCCCCAAUAGAAUCAUGUUAUUGUCUAGAAGAAGUUAGCAUGUUCUAGAAUGAUCUGGAAGAUUCUAGAACAUUAUGGAAUACUAUGGAGAAGUCUAGAAGAUGCCAGAAGAUUCUAGAAUACUCUAGAACGAGAUGGAAGACCCUGGAAGGCUAUGGAACAUUCUAGAACACUAUGGAAGGCACAAGAAUGUCUAUACUUAUCUAGGACAUUAUAGAACAUUCUAGAAACAUAUAAAAGCUUGUAAUUGAUAUAGAAUAUGGUAGAUAGUUCUAGAAUAGUCAUGAAUUUAUGUAGAUCUAGAAACUUCCUAUAAGGAGGUGGAAACACCUAUAAAUAGGUGUGGAGCUCAUUUGCUCCAAAUCAAUCCCAACAUCCAAACCAUCCAAGAAAGCCUCAAAGAAAGCAAAGUGUAUUGUAGUCUCACAAAGUGUAAGAUCUUCUUAAGCGUCUUAAUAAAAGUCUUGUUGCUUCCCAUAUAAAAGAGUCGUGUUCAACAAUCUGGUAUCAGAGCAAGGUUUCUUGAUAGUGAGAACGAGUGAUUCUCGUUGUAUCGUGAGUAGUUUGUGACUCUGCAAGUUUAGUAUCGAAACUAGCUUGUUUGGUAUUACCGAGGUACUGCCAACACGAUGGGUGAUCUCCAAGUCGUCGGAGGAAUCAAGAAACUCAACAACAACAACUACAAAACGUGGGAAACAUGUAUGAAGUCCUACUUACAAGNGCCAAGUCUAUCCCCCUUGGAAGAAGCAAGUGUAAUUGCAAUAAAAAAAAAAAUUUUAAACAAUUAAAAAGGAAUUGAAUAUAAUAUAGUAUUUGGCAAGAUUACUAUUAUAUUAGAAGUCACUACAAAAGACUUGGAAGUCAAUGGACAGUUUGUAGCCACAAACUGGUAUUUUUUUUCUAUGCCCCAAGGAAAACACAAAUGUAUUUGGCCACAAGUAUUUUUCACAAAAGAAAUUUGAGUCAACUUCUCCCUAANGAAUACCACUUCCCAAAGAAUUUCUACAUUACCCAUCAGCUUUCAUUUUAUCCUUGUUUGUUCCUCUAAAUACCUUUUUAAUGUAAGUAAAUACAAUAUGAUGUAGAGAUGACAAUUCCAACCCAUUUAUAGAAAAAUGGGUUGAUUUAGGUCAUUCUUUAUAUCUAAUUGGUCAAACAGGUCAGCCCGGUUCCAAAACUCAUUUAUAUGUGUUAAAAGUUUGUGAGCUGUUUUAAUAACCAAUUAAUAUCUUACUUCUUAAAACACAGUUUUAAUAAGUUUUCUUAAAAUAUUUAAGGCAUUCCAGUAAACACUUAUGAUAUUUUAAAACACACAUGCACUUAGAAGAAGCACUGAUUUUGUUGUCUUU